GAACGCUGGCGGCAUGCUUAACACAUGCAAGUCGCACGAGGGGCAACCCUAGUGGCGGACGGGUGAGUAACGCGUAGGUAUCUAUCCAUGGGUGGGGGAUAACAGCGGGAAACUGCUGCUAAUACCGCAUGACACCUGAGGGUCAAAGGCGCAAGUCGCCUGUGGAGGAGCCUGCGUACGAUUAGCUAGUUGGUGGGGUAAAGGCCUACCAAGGCGACGAUCGUUAGCUGGUCUGAGAGGAUGAUCAGCCACAUUGGGACUGAGACACGGCCCAAACUCCUACGGGAGGCAGCAGUGGGGAAUAUUGGACAAUGGGGGAAACCCUGAUCCAGCAAUGCCGCGUGUGUGAAGAAGGU
This 356-nucleotide ribosomal RNA is filed under the name uncultured bacterium. RNAcentral describes it as "bacterial SSU rRNA". It matches the Rfam family "Bacterial small subunit ribosomal RNA", at positions 31 to 415 of the family's 1533-position model. The record is from RNAcentral.